Molecule: ribosomal RNA, 499 nt
Filed under: Ceratophysella denticulata
Lineage: Eukaryota; Metazoa; Arthropoda; Collembola; Poduromorpha; Hypogastruridae
Description: partial 16S ribosomal RNA
Rfam family: Bacterial large subunit ribosomal RNA
Source: RNAcentral
UUCUUUUCGAUUAAAUGAAAAGUAAAACCUGCCCACUGAUUAAUUUUGAAGGGCCGCGGUAUUUUGACCGUGCAAAGGUAGCAUAAUCAUUAGCCUCUUAAUUAGAGGAUGGAAUGAAUGGUUUAACUUUAAUAAAUUUUAUUAAUUUUAUUAAUUGAAAUUUGAUUAUAAGUGAAAAUACUUAUUUUUUUUCUAUAAGACGAUAAGACCCUAUAGAUCUUUAUUCUGAUUUUUAUUGUGUAAUUUAGGGGAAUUACAUAAUAAAAUAUAGAUUUUAGCUGGGGCAGUUUAAGAAAUAAAACAAACUUCUUAGUAAAUAAUUUUUUUAAAAACUUUUGAUCUUAUUUAAUAAACUAAGAAAGUUACCUUAGGGAUAACAGCGUAAUUAAUCUAGAGAGCCCAUAUCGAUAGAUUGGAUUGCGACCUCGAUGUUGAAUUAAGAAACCUUAUUAGAGCAGCUUUUAAUUAAGGUGGUUUGUUCAACCAUUAAAUUCUUACA